UUAGGUGUGCCCUCUAAAAUGAGGGAGCGACUGAAAGCCUAUUGCAGGAACACGUAUUCCCAGGCCUGCUGAUGGACUGUCCCACCAUGAGCAAGGACAAGCAGGGAAGGUGCGCGGUGUCGUCAGUUUCUUUCUUUGCUUGGUCCCGAUUCCUACAGCCACACUCCAGAAGACCCAGCUGACCAAUUCCCUCGAGUCUGGCGAGCACUAAAAUCGCCCGGCACAGCACCUUGUUCUGCUUAAAGAGGGAAAAAUGUUCUUUAAAAAAAAGAAACGAAAUCGAAGGACUUUAACCACCUCGUGGUAUGCUAAGAAUCUUUUUCCUACCCUGAUCGGGGGGGAGAAAAACCCUAAUCUAAAUUUCAGCGGCGCACGUUGAUUAGCCAGAAUUCCGCCCCAAGGUCUGGAGGCAACAGACGAGAAUCCCUUGGCUGUAGGAUGCAAAAGUUGAGCAUCACUUGACUUGCUGCAAAUGGGGUGCGGGCAGGAAUUUAGCACAAGGAAACUGCUCCAUCUGAAGACAGACUUCUUUAGGGUUUCUUUUUUUGGGGGGGGGGGGAAGCACUUCUCUUGCUAUGGAAUGAUCUGGCUCCAUCUCCGACCUUGGCGUGGCAUUAGGAGCCCACAAAAUGGCUUCUCCUCCCCCCUGGAACUGUGGGACAUUUUAACUCAGCUCCCAUUUGCACAGAGCCAGUCACCUGGAGACACUUGGGCGGACCGGUCAGAUAGCGUCAGAGACACAAAACGGAGGAGAGGGGAGAAUGCCCGAGCAGAGACCAGGGGUUACACUGAAAUAUGCGUCAGAUCGCCCGUCCUAUUCCCACACCUUGCUCUCGCUUGUGGUGCGCGGGGAGAAAGUCGCUCCUCUGCAUCUUAGGGCUUGCACGUGGCUGAAAAGUGCUUUGGGGUGUGUGAGUGUGAGAAUCAGAAUCAACCCAGCGCUGGGGUUAUGCAGCCGGCCAACAACCGUGGCAAAGCAAAAACAAACAUUUGCGCGCACACACCCACAAUUGAUGGGAUUUCCUCAGCGAGGUUGCAAAAGGUCACUUCGGAGGACAUCUCCGCAGUGAGAUGCAACAGGCUACGGGGUGAUGGUACAGGGUUAGCGGCUGGCACAGGGGAACCAGAAUGAAUCCCCCCGCUUCAUAAAGUCCACACACACACCCUCCUGGCCUCUUUUCGCCUGCUUCGAAAGGGGCAACAAUCUGGCCAAGCGAACCUGCUCUGGAAGGGAAUGGGAGCGGGUGGGGUUUGCUCGGGUUUCUUUACCUCGAGUUUACACUGGAUUUCUUUACCGCCUUCACUCCUGCACCGGGGGCGCCCACACAAUCGACGUGUGUCACCUGAACAGGUUCCUCUUGGGGCCCGAUCCUGCAUUCUACAGGGAUCGGGCCCUACAGCCAAAACUCCCAGGGAAGGAGAGAAAGUUGUUCUUGGUUUUUAAGGCAGAAACGAAGGUGAAGAUGUAAAAUCGCUGCUGAGAUAUUUUUUUUAAAAAAAAAUCUUCCUCAAUAGUUUAAGUUUAUAGGGGGAAAAAAGCAAUUUCUCCUUUGGUAACUGA
Long non-coding RNA from Caretta caretta (loggerhead turtle), 1561 nucleotides. RefSeq lists it as uncharacterized. The record is from RefSeq and is a predicted model, not a curated record. Lineage: Eukaryota; Metazoa; Chordata; Testudines; Cheloniidae.